RNAcentral lists this ribosomal RNA (597 nucleotides) under Aphanotorulus emarginatus. RNAcentral describes it as "partial 16S rRNA". It matches the Rfam family "Bacterial large subunit ribosomal RNA", at positions 1805 to 2612 of the family's 2925-position model. Lineage: Eukaryota; Metazoa; Chordata; Actinopteri; Siluriformes; Loricariidae. The record is from RNAcentral.
UACCAAAAACAUCGCCUCCCGCGAAAAAUCAACGUAUAGGAGGUCCAUGCCUGCCCAGUGACUAUAAGUUAAACGGCCGCGGUAUUUUGACCGUGCAAAGGUAGCGCAAUCACUUGUCUUUUAAAUGAAGACCUGUAUGAAUGGUGGAACGAGGGCUUAACUGUCUCCCCCUUCUAGUCAAUGAAAUUGAUCUACCCGUGCAGAAGCGGGUAUAAUAAUACAAGACGAGAAGACCCUUUGGAGCUUAAGACAAAAAACCAACUAUGUCAAAAGUCCUAAAAAAGACUAAACUAAAUAGGACUGGUUUUAAUCUUCGGUUGGGGUGACCACGGGAGAAAACAAAGCUCCCAUGCGGACUGGGGUAAUCCCCUAAAACUAAGAGAGACAUCUCUAAGACGCAGAACAUCUGACCAUAAAGAUCCGGCUACAUGCCGACCAACGGACCAAGUUACCCUAGGGAUAACAGCGCAAUCCCCUUCCAGAGUCCAUAUCGACAGGGGGUUUACGACCUCGAUGUUGGAUCAGGACAUCCUAAUGGUGCAGCCGCUAUUAAGGGUUCGUUUGUUCAACGAUUAAAGUCCUACGUGAUCUGAGUUC